This 254-nucleotide ribosomal RNA is filed under the name uncultured bacterium. RNAcentral describes it as "partial 16S ribosomal RNA". It matches the Rfam family "Bacterial small subunit ribosomal RNA", at positions 524 to 776 of the family's 1533-position model. The record is from RNAcentral.
UACGUAGGGGGCAAGCGUUGUCCGGAAUCAUUGGGCGUAAAGCGCGUGUAGGCGGUUCGGUAAGUCCGCUGUGAAAGUCGGGGGGCUCAACCCUCGGAUGCCGGUGGAUACUGUCGGGCUAGAGUGCGGAAGAGGCGAGUGGAAUUCCUGGUGUAGCGGUGAAAUGCGCAGAUAUCAGGAGGAACACCGGUGGCGAAGGCGGGUCUCUGGGCCGAUACUGACGCUGAGGAGCGAAAGCGUGGGGAGCGAACAGG